Molecule: long non-coding RNA, 576 nt
Organism: Pygocentrus nattereri (red-bellied piranha)
Lineage: Eukaryota; Metazoa; Chordata; Actinopteri; Characiformes; Serrasalmidae
Exons: 3
Source: RefSeq, a predicted model, not a curated record
CUCUCCGUCUUCUUUUUACAAUCUCUCUCUCUCUCAGCGAUUUUUCCCACCGUGUGGAGGAGUAAUGCCGUUAGGCCGGCGUAGCUCCUCUCUUCAUUCUUUCAUUCUGUUCUUUCUCUCAGACUGAGACAGACGUCCAUCAUGUCAUGCCAUUCUAUACAUUCCAUAACCGGCCUCAGGAGCGUCAGGAGCGUCAGGAGCGUCAGGAGCGCAUAGCGACGGCUGAGAUUGGCUAGAACGCAGGGAGUCUGUGUUCCUGUCCUGGCGCGGCCUCAAGCCUCUGCUGCGUCUACUGAAGCGAGUGUUAUGGCAUGAAAGGAAGAGACGGAAAAGAUGCCCAGGCGGCCCAUGGCCAGUUUGGUGGGUCGAGAGGCGAAGGCCAGCAGGCGUUUGGGGUUGGGGAGUUCGCCGCCCUGCAGGCUGGACAGUCGCUUCCAAUUCCACCCGCUACUUGGGACUCCCCCCAAUCACACUAUACUACCAACACCAAGAGGGCGGAAUCAGCCACCGCUUCUUUUCGAACUGCCACUCACGCAGCGCCACGGGACAGCCGAAUGAGCUCGGAGGAAAGCGCCA